Eleginops maclovinus (Patagonian blennie) is the source of this 998-nucleotide long non-coding RNA. RefSeq lists it as uncharacterized. NCBI's taxonomy places the organism in Eukaryota, Metazoa, Chordata, Actinopteri, Perciformes, Eleginopidae. The record is from RefSeq and is a predicted model, not a curated record. The transcript is spliced from 4 exons.
GGACUGGGACAAUAAGUCAGGCCGGGCAUUAAUUGGAAUGAUUUCAUUCCUGUUUGAUUUAUUCUGUCAUUUUGUAUAACUAUAUUAAUCAUAUCAAUAUAAGUGUCUCGGACAUAUGUUUACAUAAAUGAUGACCAAACCGUUUGAGACCCACUGAGAUAACUUAGACUAAAGUUAACUCUAAACUCUGGGAGAGUCCUUUACCUCACUGAGCUGUAGUUAUCUGAGCCUCUCAGUCUGACAGGAGAGGACUCUCCUCGACCUUGUUCUAGAAACAGAUCCUGAUAUCCGUUAGCGCAGCUAGCUCCAGAUGCUAACAACAACAAUUCAAUUCAUCCAUGAGGUAUGACGCUCUGCUGUCCGUACGCUUCUCCAUGUUUGGGAUUGCAAGAGUAUAUCAUACAUUGACUUUAUCCAGUUUGAAGACACAUUUUGGUGCAGAGUUUGAUUAACUGACGGCUUACUCACAUGCUGUCUACAGAGCACAUGUGAUGCAUUCAGCCUCUGCAGCCUCUCUGCAGGACACACCCCGGAAGUAUCAUCGUGCAACACCUGGCAGAGAAGCAGCGUGAUGGCGCCGGUGUGGAAACACUUGUUGGCGUUUUACCUUCACUGCUAACAGCAUGCACAUUGUGCUAUCCCGUCAGCGUUGGUGAGUGCAGAGUUUCUGGACCAAACCUGAGGACAGCCGGGUUUCUUCACAUCAUCCUCGUCCUCUUCUUCCUCCACUCGUGGUAAAGAUGAACAGGUUGCCCCCCCACAGAAGAAGCAGGCCACAUCUGCUGGAUCAGGUACCAGGCUGCUAGCUCAGGAUGCCGAUGCUAUUCUCAGAGACACUGUUCAGGCAGCAGAGUCUUUGACAUGGGUGAAGAGGAGCGCAUCAUUGCUCUCCAGCAGCUGCAGUCCUCACACUUGUGGGUGGGGCUCUCUGCACUCCUGAGGGGAGACCAUAAGAACAAGACACCAUGAAUUUAAGGCUCAACAACAAAGCCUUGAUG